Molecule: non-coding RNA, 919 nt
Organism: Cinara cedri
Lineage: Eukaryota; Metazoa; Arthropoda; Insecta; Hemiptera; Aphididae
Source: the annotation of a GenBank genome assembly
UAUUCGUUGUGAUAAUUACGACUGCAGAAAUUUAACUCUGUGUCACAGUGCACCCGAUUUCUUAAACUUUAAUUGCAAAUCAGGAGUGUAUUGGUUGUGUCAGUCGACUUUUAUCAGCUUGACGAACAAUAAAUUAUUAUCACUUGAUCUUAAUAUUCAUACAAUACUAUUUAUAUUUCAAUCUAUUUUAUAGGUCAGUGCUCAAUUUUUGUACUUAAUUGUAAUUAAAAUACUUUCGUACGUUUUGUUUAGACUUUCCCAAUGAAAUAAAACUUUGGUUUCGUUGGAAUUCGUAUGUGAAAAAAGUUUUCGUCAUAGUUAUAACCCGCCACUUAUAACGAGCAUACAACUAUAGUUAAAAUAAUAUUCACUAGAUUUAUCGCUGGAAAUAUAUGAUAGACCAUAGCUUAGCCAUAAGUAGGUAGAGUAGAUGUUAUUAUCAUUGUUAUUAUAUCUACUCUCGCGCAAAGUCGCGAAAACAUAUAUAUAUUUUUUUUAAAUUCGAAGUGGGUGUUGGUAAUAUUAUCGCGCUGCAGUCUGGAUAUCGGAAGUUCUAAUCAAAAUUAAUCGCGCUGAUAAAAUUCUACCGAAGGGAAGAAGUCACACGAAUAAGUGUCACGACUAUCCCUCGGUAGCUCUGUCGUCGUCUUCAUAAAGAAAAAUAGACAAAGUCGUAUCGCGUUACUCGCGUUGUUCGACUGGCCAUCUGGUGAAACUCGACACCUAUAUAAUUAUAUAGCUAGUCGUGUCGAAUUACCGAUAAACGGUGUCGCGCGAUGCAAUUUAUAAUAAAAUUCCCUUAUCAUUAAUCGUUAUAGAUAUUCGUUAUUGUGUACCUGUACGCGAUUUUGUUAGUGUCCUCUUUUUUUUAGUUUUCCUCUUUGAAUCUCCUCUCUCGUUGCACAUAUCUGGGUCACAU